GCCGCCGAAAGUGCCGCCGAACAUGCAUGAGUUUCGUCUCUGUCUGGGAGUUUCGGCCGCCGAAGGUGCCGCCGAACCUGCCUGACUUUCGGCUCUAGAGGGACUUUCGGCCGCCGAACCUGCCGCUGAAAGUGCCCUGUUCAGCCUUCCUUUGCAUGCUUCCCAUGGAUUUUUUGAGGUGUUUUAAGGGGGUUUGGGGGAUUUUUUAGAGUCAUGUUCUAGUAUGUUUGGUCCCUCAUUUGAGUCCACCUUUGUAGGUUCGGACCCGAGGAACCGAGACCCCAGCAGUGACAGCUGCUUCAGAGCCUUGUCAGAGUCAGCCAGAGGUGAGUAGAAUAAACUCUUACGUUUUAAAUAAAUGAAGAACUUUAGCAUGAAUCAUGCAUCAUGAAUGCCAUGUGAUAUCCUAGGUUGCUUGCAUUAGAAUUCACGAAUAUGUUGCAUUGCAUAUCUUGAUGUUGAUGUGGAUGGAUAUUGGAUGACCAUUGGUCCUCAGUAUGAUGAGACAUGAUAUGAUAUGAUAUGGAAGUCCAGGUGUGGCCUGCACUACGCCCCUGGCACUAUGUAAGUGAAAGUCCGGGUGUGGCCUGCACUACGCCCCCGGCACAGUUGGACAUGUAUGUUAUGAGAUAUGUAAGAGAAAGACCAGGUGUGGUCUGCACUAUGCUCCUGGCACAGUUGGACUAUGUAGAGGACCCUUGGUGACAAGUCCAUCCUUGAUGUGAUAUGGUUGUGAUGUGAUGCAUUACAUGAUAGCAUGUGUUUUAAUUGUUAUUAUUAUUCUGCUCACUGGGCUCUUGUAGCUCACCCCUUUCCCCUUAUCCCCCCAGGUUUGCAGGUACNNNNNNNNNNNNNNNNNNNNNNNNNNNNNNNNNNNNNNNNNNNNNNNNNNNNNNNNNNNNNNNNNNNNNNNNNNNNNNNNNNNNNNNNNNNNNNNNNNNNNNNNNNNNNNNNNNNNNNNNNNNNNNNNNNNNNNNNNNNNNNNNNNNNNNNNNNNNNNNNNNNNNNNNNNNNNNNNNNNNNNNNNNNNNNNNNNNNNNNNNNNNNNNNNNNNNNNNNNNNNNNNNNNNNNNNNNNNNNNNNNNNNNNNNNNNNNNNNNNNNNNNNNNNNNNNNNNNNNNNNNNNNNNNNNNNNNNNNNNNNNNNNNNNNNNNNNNNNNNNNNNNNNNNNNNNNNNNNNNNNNNNNNNNNNNNNNNNNNNNNNNNNNNNNNNNNNNNNNNNNNNNNNNNNNNNNNNNNNNNNNNNNNNNNNNNNNNNNNNNNNNNNNNNNNNNNNNNNNNNNNNNNNNNNNNNNNNNNNNNNNNNNNNNNNNNNNNNNNNNNNNNNNNNNNNNNNNNNNNNNNNNNNNNNNNNNNNNNNNNNNNNNNNNNNNNNNNNNNNNNNNNNNNNNNNNNNNNNNNNNNNNNNNNNNNNNNNNNNNNNNNNNNNNNNNNNNNNNNNNNNNNNNNNNNNNNNNNNNNNNNNNNNNNNNNNNNNNNNNNNNNNNNNNNNNNNNNNNNNNNNNNNNNNNNNNNNNNNNNNNNNNNNNNNNNNNNNNNNNNNNNNNNNNNNNNNNNNNNNNNNNNNNNNNNNNNNNNNNNNNNNNNNNNNNNNNNNNNNNNNNNNNNNNNNNNNNNNNNNNNNNNNNNNNNNNNNNNNNNNNNNNNNNNNNNNNNNNNNNNNNNNNNNNNNNNNNNNNNNNNNNNNNNNNNNNNNNNNNNNNNNNNNNNNNNNNNNNNNNNNNNNNNNNNNNNNNNNNNNNNNNNNNNNNNNNNNNNNNNNNNNNNNNNNNNNNNNNNNNNNNNNNNNNNNNNNNNNNNNNNNNNNNNNNNNNNNNNNNNNNNNNNNNNNNNNNNNNNNNNNNNNNNNNNNNNNNNNNNNNNNNNNNNNNNNNNNNNNNNNNNNNNNNNNNNNNNNNNNNNNNNNNNNNNNNNNNNNNNNNNNNNNNNNNNNNNNNNNNNNNNNNNNNNNNNNNNNNNNNNNNNNNNNNNNNNNNNNNNNNNNNNNNNNNNNNNNNNNNNNNNNNNNNNNNNNNNNNNNNNNNNNNNNNNNNNNNNNNNNNNNNNNNNNNNNNNNNNNNNNNNNNNNNNNNNNNNNNNNNNNNNNNNNNNNNNNNNNNNNNNNNNNNNNNNNNNNNNNNNNNNNNNNNNNNNNNNNNNNNNNNNNNNNNNNNNNNNNNNNNNNNNNNNNNNNNNNNNNNNNNNNNNNNNNNNNNNNNNNNNNNNNNNNNNNNNNNNNNNNNNNNNNNNNNNNNNNNNNNNNNNNNNNNNNNNNNNNNNNNNNNNNNNNNNNNNNNNNNNNNNNNNNNNNNNNNNNNNNNNNNNNNNNNNNNNNNNNNNNNUGGUUUAAGAACUAUGUGAGCCCGAGGUUGGACAGCCUAUCAUGGGAGGAGUUUGCAAAUGAAUUUGUAGGAUGGGCUUUUCCUGACAGUUCAAGAGAAUUGAAGAUGAUUGAGUUUGAACAGUUAAGGCAGACAGAGGAAAUGAGUGUAGACGAGUACACCGACAGAUUCUUGGAGCUGUUGCCAUUUGCAGGGCAAACUCUUGACACAGACCAGAAGAAGUCAAGGAGGUAUAUUGUAACAUCCUCAAACCCAUAGGUAGAGUAGUGCCAUCGUUAGGCUAUUUCAUUCCUAGAGUAAGGGGCAUUAGGGGAGGUGCUAGUUUAACUCUAAUCUGCUAAUAACUGAAUCAUAGAAAACUUAAAUAAAGAAACGGACAUAUAUCAUGAAACUUCACUCCAGGUAUUCCUCCUUGAUUCAGUCCGCAGAUAGGGAGAGCUUCCAUGCCAUAGUGGAUAUGGCUAGGAGGAUGGAGGCUAGUGCUAUCAUCGAGGGAAAAGUGAAGCAGUCAGUGGCACAGCCUUCUGGUUCUAAGACCCCAGGCUCUUCUUCAAUGAGUGCAGCGGCUUCAGGUAGUAAAAAGUGGGACAGAGGCCACAGGAAGUCUAAGAAGAACAAGUUCUGGAACAAGGUUAAGUCCAGUCUGGGAUUUGGAGGUGGCUCAAGCUCUGGUGCGGAUAAUGCAGUUUGUGCAAGGUGUGGUAAGCCACACAAGGGAGUAUGUCGGUUUGGGACGACAGCCUGUUGCAGAUGCGGUCAGGAGGGACAUAUGGCUCGAGAGUGUCCAAGAGCAGUUCCGAUGGCUCAGUCCCAGCAGACAGCUUCGGGUAGUGUAGCGCAGCCAGCAGCUCCAGCCACGACUCAGGCUAGUGGCAGAGGUAGAGGGAGAGGGUCAGCCUCUUCUUCAGCGGGUUUCAGAGGUGAAGGUCCAUCAGCUCCAGCACGGAUCUUCACAAUGACACAACAGGAGGCAGAUGCAUCUAACACCGUGGUGGCAGGUAACUUAGUCAUUGGUUGUUCAGAUGUGUAAGCCUUGAUGGACCCUGGUGCAUCUCAUUCUUUUAUUGCACUGAGAGCCGUUUUGAGGUUGGGGUUGAUGAUCUAUGGGUUAGAGUGUCCUCUCUGGGUCAGUGGACCCAAGUGUGAUCCAUCAGUGGCAGAGUCAGUCUGCCAGUGUAGUCCUGUGUUUGUUGAGGGGAGAUGCUUGUCCGCCGACCUUGUGGUUCUAGACUUGACAGAUUUUGACGUCAUUCUAGGGAUGGACUGGUUAUCUACCCAUGGUGCUACCUUGGACUGCAGGGACAAGGUAGUCAGGUUCAGAGGUCAGGAUGGGUCAGAGGUAGUCUUCAGAGGAGACAGGAGGGGUACACCUAGAGGUCUGAUAUCAGCUCUUCAGGCUCGUAGGUUGCUUAGGAGGGGAUGUCAGGGGUAUUUGACUCAUGUGAGAGAGCUUAGCAAUCAGGUUAGAGAGCCCGCCUCGGUGCCGGUGGUCAGAGAGUUUUUGGAUGUGUUCUCAGACGAGCUGCCAAGUUUACCACCUGCUAGGGAGAUAGAGUUCGAGAUAGAAUUGAUGCCUGGAACCCGACCGAUCUCUAUCCCUCCCUACAGGAUGGCACCAAUAGAAUUGAAGGAGCUUAAGGAACAGUUGCAAGAGCUGGUAGACAAGGGUUUCAUCCGACCGAGUACCUCACCUUGGGGUGCUCCAGUUUUGUUUGUGAGAAAGAAGGAUGGAUCCCUCAGAUUUUGUAUCGACUACAGGCAGUUGAACAAAGUCACUACCAAGAAUAGGUACCCUUUGCCAAGGAUCGAUGAUCUAUUCGACCAGCUAGCAGGAGCGGGUUGUUUCUCCAAAAUAGAUCUGAGGUCCGGGUACCAUCAGCUGAGGAUAAGAGAGCAAGAUCUGCCAAAGACAGCUUUCAGAACCAGAUAUGGGCAUUUUGAGUUCCUUGUAAUGCCGUUCGGGUUAACCAACGCCCCUGCAGCAUUCAUGGAUCUCAUGAACAGAGUGUUGAGCCAGUACCUGGAUCACUUUGUGAUUGUCUUCAUAGAUAAUAUCUUAGUGUAUUCUAGGAAUGCAGAGGAGCAUGCCCAUCAUCUGAGGUUGGUUCUGCAGACCUUGAGGGAGUAUGGCUUGUAUGCCAAGUUCUCCAAGUGUGAGUUCUGGCUGAGGAGCAUUUCAUUCUUGGGGCAUGUUGUGUCAGAAAAUGGAAUAGAGGUGGACCCCAAGAAGGUAGAAGCUGUGGCUAACUGGCCUAGACCCACUUUAGUGUCAGAGAUCAGAAGUUUCUUGGGUUUGGCAGGUUACUACAGAAAGUUCGUUUAGGACUUCUCAAGAAUUGCAGCUCCUCUGACCAGACUAACCAGGAAGAAUCAGAAGUUUGUGUGGACCGACCAGUGCGAAGAGAGUUUUGAAAAGCUUAAGAAGAGGUUAACGUCGGCACCAGUGUUAGCUUUGCCAGCUAGCAAUGAGGACUUCAUAGUGUUCUGUGAUGCAUCCCGAGUGGGUUUGGGUUGUGUGUUAAUGCAGAAAGAAAGGGUGAUUGCUUAUGCUUCUAGACAACUGAAGAAGCAUGAGUUGAAUUACCCCACACAUGACCUGGAGAUGGCAGCAGUAAUCUUUGCACUCAAGAUGUGGAGGCACUACCUCUAUGGAGUUAAAUGUUAGAUCUUUACAGAUCAUAAGAGCCUGCAGUACAUCCUGAGUCAAAGAGAUUUGAACUUGAGACAUAGAAGAUGGGUGGAGCUGCUGAGUGACUAUGAUUGCAAGAUUCAGUACCAUCCGGGUAAGGCGAAUGUUGUGGCAGACGCCUUAAGCCGGAAAUCACUCGGCAGUUUAUCCCACAUAUCGACAGAAAGGAGGCCAGUAGUGAAGGAGUUUUACAAGCUCGUUGAUGAAGGUCUUCAGUUGGAGUUGUCUGGUACAGGUGCUUUAGUUGCCCAGAUGAGAGUGGCACCCGUGUUUCUGGAGCAGGUGGCUCAGAAACAGCAUGAGGACCCAGAGUUAGUGAAGAUUGCCAGGACUGUUCAGUCAGGCAAGGAUAGUGAGUUCAGAUUCGACAACAAGGGGAUCCUCCGCUAUGGGAGUCGAUUGUGUGUACCAGAUGACAUAGGGCUAAAGGGAGACAUUAUGAGAGAGGCUCAUAAUGCAAGAUACAGCGUUCACCCCGGAGCCACCAAAAUGUAUCAAGAUCUGAAGAAAGUUUAUUGGUGGCCAGCUAUGAAGAGAGAAGUGGCACAGUUUGUGUCAGCCUGCGAAGUGUGUCAGAGGGUGAAGCUGGAACAUCAGAAGCCGGCUGGAAUGCUUAACCCGCUACCUAUUCCAGAGUGGAAAUGGGAAAAUAUAGCUAUGGACUUCGUAGUGGGGUUACCGGCGACGUCCAACAGAUUGGACUCCAUAUGGGUGAUUGUGGACAGACUCACCAAAUCUGCUCACUUCAUCCCUGUCAGGAGUGGCUAUUCUGUGGACAAGUUGACGCAGGUGUAUGUCGAUGAGAUCGUCAGACUGCAUGGGGUUCCUGUUUCAAUAGUGUCCGAUAGAGGGCCCCAGUUCACCUCCAGAUUUUGGCGGAGUCUGCAGAACGCCAUGGGUACCAGGUUGGAUUUCAGCACUCCUUUCCAUCCACAGACGGACGGACAAUCAGAGAGGACCAUCCAGACGAUAGAGGAUAUGCUUAGAAUGUGUGUGCUGGAUUUUGGCGGUUCUUGGAGGCAGUAUCUACCCUUGGUGGAGUUUGCCUACAAUAACAGCCAUCAUGCUAGCAUCGGGAUGGCUCCAUAUGAAGCUUUAUAUGGGAGGAAGUACAGGUCACCUGUUUGCUGGGAGGAAGUUGGAGAGAAGGCCUUGGCAGGGCCUGAACUAGUAGAGAUCACCAGCAGGGUGGUACCCAUAAUCAGAGAAAGGAUCAAGACUGCUGCAAGCAGACAUAAGAGUUAUGCAGAUAUCCGCAGAAGACAAGUAGAGUUUCAGGAUGGGGAUCUGGUAUUGCUCAAGGUGUCUCCUAUGAAAGGAGUGGUUCGUUUUGGAAAGAAAGGUAAACUAGCCCCACGAUACAUCGGACCCUUUGAAAUCUUGCAAAAGAUUGGGAAUGUGUCGUACAAGCUGGAUUUACCUGCUUCAAUGGAAAGAAUCCAUCCGGUUUUCCAUGUUUCAAUGUUGAGGAAGUUUGUGUCAGAUCCGGACAAGGUUCUUAGUGAGCCUGAUGUGGAGAUCCAAGAGGAUCUCACCUAUGUUGAACAGCCAGUAUGGAUCAUAGACACCCAGAUCAGAAAGCUAAGGAACAAGGAAAUCCCGAUGGUGAAAGUCCUUUGGAACCACCACAAUAUGGAAGAAUGCACCUGGGAGACACGGGAGUCUAUGCUCCAUCAGUACCCUCAUCUCUUUUAAGGUUAGAUCUCUAUGUGUUUUAUGUGCUUUGUAUGUAUGUUAUGUGUAUGUUAUGUUGUAUGCUUUGCAUGUGCUAGUUGAGGAACAUUCGGGGACGAAUGUUCUUAAGGGGGGGGAGAAUGUUCUUAAGGGGGGGAGAAUGUAAUACCCGGCUAGACUCCGGUAUCGAAAUUCCUACCGUCCGAUGGAAUCUCGGGUGUCGGAAGCCUCUAGUCGGCUAGAAACAUGUUUUCAUAAAAUGUUUUAAUGUAUUUCAUGGUUUUAAGUAAAAAGGAAAUGAGUUUUUUUCAUGAAAAUAGUCUUGGAGGAAGACCCAGGUUCGGCUGCCGAACCUCAAGUUCGGCCGCCGAACAUGCAUGUGCUUCGGGAGUGCUUUAGGCCCCCGAAGGCAUAAGUGAGGGAAGUCCAGGUUCGGCCGCCGAACCUUAUGUUCAGCCGCCGAACAUGGCAUGCAUGCGGAGGCACGUUCGGCUCCCGAAUGUGGCCUGGCCAGCCACCUAUAAAGGGGUCCCUUAGCCGAAAACGGGCGAGUUUUUCUCCCCAUUUUUGGCCAAGGUGAGCUCUCCGCCGUCCCUCACCGAUCUUGAGUUUCUUCCUUCCAUUCUUCAUGAUUUUUCUGAGUUUUCACCUUUGUUUUGAAGAUUUUCGAGUAUAAAGCAAGUUUUGGAGCUUUGAGGUUCAAGAAACUAAAAUCUCUCCCAUCUCCAAGCUAGGGUCGUUCUCCUCUCGAUCUUCAAGAGGUAAGGGCCGAUCUUGAGCUCAUUUUAUGUUUUAAACAAGUUUUAUGCAAGUUUAUGGAAUAGAAAUGCAUGUUUAGGUUUUUGGUUGGUUUAAGGGUUAUGUUAAGUUUUUGAGCAAUGUAUGAUGCUUGUGGUUGUUUGAUGUGUUGUAGAUGAGGUUUAGGAUAGUUUGAAGCCCCUAGGAGCUGAUGUAUGUAUCUAUGCAUGUUUUGAGUGAGUUGUAUGCUUGAUCUAAAAGGUUGGGAGGCAACUGUGCAUGAGGAACCAAGUUUCUGCCCUUUGGCAGAAACCAGGUUCGGCAGCCGAAGGACUUUCGGCCGCCGAACCUGCUUUGGAAGGCAAGCCUUUCGGCUGCCGAAGCCUGCCCCCGAAAGAGGACUUUCGUCUCUGGAGGGUAGUUUCGGCCGCCGAAAGUGCCGCCGAACAUGCGUGAGUUUCGUCUCUGUCUGGGAGUUUCGGCCGCUGAAGGUGCCGCCGAACCUGCCUGACUUUCGGCUCUGGAGGGACUUUCGGCCGCCGAACCUGCCGCCGAAAGUGCCCUGUUCAGCCUUCCUUUGCAUGCUUCCCAUGGAUGUUUUGAGGUGUUUUAAGGGGGUUUUGGGGGAUAUUUUAGAGUCAUGUUCUAGUAUGUUUGGUCUCUCAUUUGAGUCCACCUUUGUAGGUUCGGACCCGAGGAACCGAGGACCCCAGUAGUGACAGCUGCUUCAGAGUCUUGUCAGAGUCAGCCAGAGGUGAGUAGAAUAAACUCUUACGUUUUAAAUAAAUGAAGAACUUUAGCAUGAAUCAUGCAUCAUGAAUGCCAUGUGAUAUCCUAGGUUGCUUGCAUUAGAAUUCACGAAUAUGUUGCAUUACAUAUCUUGAUGUUGAUGUGGAUGGAUAUUGGAUGACCCAUUGGUCCUCAGUAUGAUGAGACAUGAUAUGAUAUGAUAUGGAAGUCCAGGUGUGGCCUGCACUACGCCCCUGGCACUAUGUAAGUGAAAGUCCGGGUGUGGCCUGCACUACGCCCCCGGCACAGUUGGACAUGUAUGUUAUGAGAUAUGUAAGAGAAAGACCAGGUGUGGUCUGCACUAUGCUCCUGGCACAGUUGGACUAUGUAGAGGACCCUUGGUGACAAGUCCAUCCUUGAUGUGAUAUGGUUGUGAUGUGAUGCAUUACAUGAUAGCAUGUGUUUUAAUUGUUAUUAUUAUUCUGCUCACUGGGCUCUUGUAGCUCACCCCUUUCCCCUUAUCCCCCCAGGUUUGCAGGUACAAGGUAGACCAGGAGGUCGGCAGGAGUAAAGUAUGUUUUUAUGUAAUAGUUAGGAGUUGUGGACAUGAUGAAAUGGUAAUGUAAUGUGUUAUGUAGUCAUGAUAUGUAAAGUGAUAUUGAGGAUUAGAGGUUGUGCUUGACCCUAUAUGUAUGGUAUUCCCUUUUAAUGCAUGAUCACUAUUAUCAUUGAUGAGAUGAGUAAUCAAGCUUAAUGUAUGUUUUUGAUACCCCAUUGGAGAAUGGUAUGAGGGCUCCAGUGUGAGGUUUAUGGUUAUGUUAGUAUGCAUGCACAGGUUAAGCUUGAUUUAUGAAAGAAAAAGUUUAUAUGUUUAUGAUUUUGUAUGAUCAUGUAUGGGAUUACACAGGUUUACAGGUUUUAUGUCAGGCUUGCUACGGGUCCCGGCGGCCUUAAGCCGAUCUGGAUCCUAGCGCCGGUAGCGGUCUGAUUUUCGGGUCGUUACAAAAAGGAAGGAGGCGCGCGGAUGCUCUUCAGGGGGAAAGUGGGCGCGCGGCAUGCAUGUGCAGAAGGAAAAGUGAAUCUGUCCAGUCUUUCCUUUUUAGGUGGAGCCUUCGUUUGAAUUUUGAAUGCUGAACGUAGAAGAGGCAAGUGCGUCUUCAUGAAAUCUUGCUGCCUAAAUAGGAAGAUAUGACUGCUGCAGUGUGUGCACAUCAAUGAACAAGGAAAGAAAGAUCUGCAUUUUGACUUUCAAAUAAUCUUCUGACUAAACUUUCCUUAUUUGCUUUUGCUUCUACACUUUCCUUAUUUGAAAACUUUCCUUUUCUGAAACCUUUCCUUAUUUGAAAACUUUCCUUUUCUGAAACCUUUCCUUAUUUGAAAACUUUCCUUUUCUGAAACCUUUCCUUAUUCGAAAACUUUCCUUAUUUGAAAACUUUCCUUUUUUUGCACUUUCCAUAUUUGACACUUUUUGGCAGUUUUAAGAGCAUUUUCUCCAGAUUGUCUCUUUACACCUAUAAUCUGCAAAACAUGAUUAAAACUACAAAAUCAGGCAGAAAAGAUGUAAAUAAACAUCAAGAACAUAAUGAUAAAAUGGACUAAAAUAUGCUCUAUCAAAUACCCCCACACUGAGCCUUUUGCUUGUCCUCAAGCAAAUAAACAUUGUCAAAUAAGCUUUCUUUGCUACUUGAUCCUUAUUUCCACUUAAACUCUUACUCAAGACACCUAUUUUGAAUCAUUACAGUGAAGAAUACAUGCAUGAAGAUUACUCACCUUCUUUCCUUGUUUCCCUUUACUUACCAUAGCUAGGAUUUAUUUUACUCAAGAGAGAGAUUAUACAUGCACUUGUUCUGUUCAGUUAAGACUUUUUCUAGCUUUCAGAGUGAUUUGCCCUUACCUUGAAGUACUAUAUUCAGCUUUUUGCACUUUAAUCUUGCUUGAAAAAGUCACCAACCUUUUGACGUGAAGGUACAUAUUGGUGAUACCCACCCCCAGUUACUCAGUUGGUCACCUGUCCAAGUGGCUACUAGCUCUGUUCAUAGUCUUUCAACCAUUAGAACAGUUUUCAAUUUGUGCUCAUGAAGUCUAAGCCUUUGCUGAAUUUCUUUAAUCAAUGCAUUGGACAAAUCAACACCAAUUGCUAAAUCAAGUCAUGUUAAGUUCAUUCAUACAAUUUCAAUUCAUUCUCUCUAAUGAGUGUCAUCAAUACAUUUUUCACCAUGGUAGGCUCAAGGAUUCAAUUCAAAAGGUAAUUCUCAAACAUGAAUAUAACUCACUGCAAUUGAUUCAAUAUAAGUUUAAAGAGUCAUUACAUCAAUGGGGUCAUGGAAAGAAAAACUCAUUCAACAUAGUCUAUCAGUUUGAGUAGAGCAAAUAAAAAAAAAGAAGAAGAUUGGUGGUUGUGUGUGUUAUUGAAAGCAAAAACUAAAAAUAAACUGAAAGAAAACAGAAAGAACAAAAAUUGCUUAAACUGAAGGAAAAAAAAAAAACUUAUGAAUCUGAAAGGAAAAAAAAAUUCAAAAAUUUUCGCAGACUAAAAGGAGUCUUGCGCAAAAACUGAAAGGGAAAAGAAGAAGAAGAAGAAGAAGAAGAAGAAGAAAAAGAAGAAGAAAAAGAAGGAGAAGAAGAGAGGUAUGCACCCCCACACCUAAAUCAUGCAUUGUCCUCAAUGUAUGAGAAAAUAAAAGAACAAAGGAAACUGAGUACUCCCCUGGGGUGUGGUGUGCGUGGUGUGAUCACUUAGGCUGAAUGAGUGACGAACAGAUGUUCGUCUGGGAAGUCUUCCUUGACUGGGCAUGGCACAGAGCUAGAUGGAAGCCGGCUCAAGUGAUCAGCCAUUAGAUUCUCCUUUCCUUUCUUGUUCCUUUUUCCAGAUCGAAUUCUUGUAGCAACAGAAUCCACCGAAUGAGUCUCGAUUUUGCUUCCUUUUUCUUGAUCAGAUAUCACAAAGCUACAUGGUUAGAAUAGACAAUGACUUUGGUCCCCAAGAGAUAUGGUAUGAAUUUCUCUAAAGCAAAUACAAUAGCCAAAAGCUCCUUUUCUAUUGUUGAGUAGUUGCUUUGUGCAGCAUCCAGUGUGCGAGAGGCAUAGUGAAUGACGUGAGGUGAGUUUCCCACAUGUUGCCUCAAGACUGCUCCCACUGCAUAGUUGCUUGCAUCACACAUGAUUUCAAAGGGCAAGUUCCAAUCAGGUGCUUGAAUAAUUGGGGCAGUCACAAGCAAUUUCUUUAUCAGAUCAAAUGUCACAUCUUGUUGGAGCAAUUUACAUAAGGGUUGUGUGAUUUUGGAGAAAUCUUUUAUGAAUCUCCUGUAGAAUCCUGUAUGACCAAGGAAAGAACGGAUUUCUUUAACAUUUGUAGGAUAAGGUAGAUUUUUAAUUGUGUCUACCUUAGCCUUGUCUACUUCAAUUCCUUUAGCUGAAAAAACAUGUCCCAAAACCAUACCUUGAUUAACCAUAAAAUGACAUUUUUCAUAAUUAAGUACAAGGUUAGACUCAAGGCAUCUCUAUCGGAUCUUUUCUAAGUUGGCAAGGCAUUCUUCAAAGGAGUCGCCAUGCGCUGUGAAAUCAUCCAUGAAUACUUCAAUUGUCUUACCCACAUAGUUAGAGAAUAUGCUCAUCAUGCAUCGCUGGAAGGUGGCAAGUGCAUUGCAUAGUCCAAACGACAUUCUUCUAAAGGUAAAAGUGCCAAAAGGACAAGUGAAGGUGGCCUUCUCUUGGUCCUUGAUAGAACAUAUUUUAGUCCAUUUUAUCUUGAUAUUAUUGAUGAUUAUUUACAUGAUUUCUGCUUAAUUUAGUGCUCUUGAUAUUAUUUUGCAGAAAAUGGUGAAAAAGGACAUUUUGGAGAAAACACCCUUAAAACUGCCUUACAUGGAGCAAAGGAGAGCAAACCUGCCAAGUUGGAAUCAAGUGAAGCUAAAUAAGGAAAGUUCUAAAUAAGGAAAGUGGCAAAGAAGGAAAGAACAUUUAGCCAAAGCAAUUUAAAAUUCAAAUUUCAAAUCUCCAAGUAGCCUUUUCCUUAUUCAAUAAGCCAAGUCUCAAGUUGCCAUAAAUGAAGAGCCAAAUAAGGAAAGUAUUUUGAAAUUCAAAUAUUUAAGAUUCAUAUUCAAAUUUUGAAUUUCAAAAUCCAGCUUAUUAAGAAAGCUAAAUCCAAAGAUCACAUGCUUGCCACCUCAUGCCUUGCACAUUUAAAAUUCAAAUUGCAAAGGAGGCUCCACCUUCCUUAUUAGUGCAUGGGCGGCAAGGAGAGUGUGAAGGCAAGUCUUGGGCACCUUGGGCACUAUCUUGAAGACACUUGGACAGCAAGCAUAGACCAAAGGCCCCACUCCUUGCAAUUGAACACAUGCCCCACGUUUUUCCCUCCUCACAUGUGCAUGGAUGGCACAUCUUGGACCAAAGGCAUUUUGGGCAGACUCUUAAAGUCUUUUGGGCAGCCUCUUGACACUUUGGGCAGCCUCUUCACUAAUUAGGAAGCAAGUAUCAUCUUGGACAACACUUUUCAAGUAUAAAAAGACACAUAAGGAGCCUCCCCAUGCUUUUUCAAGCCCCCCUUGGAGGCACUUACGGGAUUCACAUCUCUUCUUCUACCUUUCUUCUUUUCUUUUAUUUUUGGUUUUUGUUUCAGCCAUGAGAGGCUGAAAUCUUUUAUUCUAGUUGAAGAUUAGGUGAUGCUUUAGUUGUUUUAUGGAUUGGGAGACUUGAUCAAACAUUGUUUAUCUUUUGUUAUUCAAUAUUCAUACAAUCUCAUGCUUAAUUCCAUUGUUGCUUUGUUGUUUUGAUCAAUAUGGCCAAUUGAUUCUUGAUUGCAAGGUAAUAAUAUGUUAGUUUGGGUGAUUUAAGUCCAUAAUUGCUUGGAUUAUUCAAACAUAAGAACACUUGGUGUAAAAACUAAGGAAAUUGUAUGAUCUAGCAACAUCUCAUGCGUUUGAGUAGUUAGGAUUGGAUCUUUCUCUUUCUUCAUGCAAUCGACAAUUGUUUGAUGCCUAAGGCCCAAGGACAUUCCUUGGCAAUUUGUUAAUUAGUAAUUAAUUAGAGUACAUUCCCUAAUUGGUUUAAUCAUAAGGAGAGACAUGAUGGUGAGAAGUGUCUUCCAUCUCCAUAACUAAUCUAUUGAAUCAAUCAAAAGAAACUAAGUAUCAAUGAUCAAUCCCAACAACGGAAGUAGAUCCAAUUCUUCAACUAGAGCUUUCUUAUUAUUUAUUUCUCUUUUAUUUUAUUAUUCGCUUAUUUUAAUUACUUUCAGUAGUUUGUUAAUCAAAUCAAUCUCAAAACCCCCAUUUUACUUUUACUGCAAUUUAGUUUUAUUCCACUUUCAGUUUAUCUCGUUUUCAGUUUUAUCUCGUUUCAGUUUAUCUCGCUUUCAGUUUAUUCCGCUUUCAGUUUAUCUCGCUUUCAGUUUAUCUUGCUUUCAGUUUAUCUCGCUUUCAGUUUAUUCCGCUUUCAGUUUAUCUCGCUUUCAGUUUAUCUCGCUUUCAGUUUAUCUCGCUUUCAGUUUAUCUUGUUUUCAGUUUUCUCCUUUUUAUGUUUAUUUUUAUUUCAGUUUAUUUUAUUGGUCUUGAUAAGAAAAAUAGGUAAGUUCUCAAUUCCCUAUGGAUUUGAUCCUUUCACCACUAUCUGCAGUUGUAAAUUGUUGAUAACCAGAGAGGUUAUUUUUGACCGACUUCGACAACCACGAGUCAAAAAUUGGUGCCGUUGCCAGGGAGUUGAUUUAACUUAUUUGUUUUUCUUUCAGAACCAGAUCCGCCACCCAAAGAACACUUCAUUGCAUAUUUGAACAUAAAAAAAAAGUGAAGACCAUUUUUGCAUAGGAGCACCUUUUGCAACACAUUCGACCGCCGAACUUCAUCAACCUUCGACCGCCGAACCUCAUCCACAUUCGACCGCUGAACUUCAUCAACCUUCGGCUGCCGAACCUCAUCCUCAUUCGGCUGCCGAACAUCUCGCCAAAGGCACAGUCACCAUCGCAGAUCUGAAUCAUGGAUGAGGUAAGUACACCUGCUACUUCUUCUCAGCUUUUUGAACUGACAACUUUUAUGAAAGAUUUUUCCAUAGGACUAGUUCAACAGGCUCAAGCAUUUCAGCCAUCAAGGCCAUAUGGGACCUAUUCAUAUGUAGGACACCCAACUGAUUAAUGUCCUACACGUUAUGAGUAUGACCAACAAGUACAUACAUUUGGAGGAUUCUAUGGACAGCCAAGACAUGAUCCCUACUAUGACACAUACAAUCCAGGUUGGAGAGACUGUCCAGACUUCAAUUAUGCAUGGGAUAACGACUACCAAAAUUAUCAAGGAUAUCAAGCCCAACUAGAAUCUCCAAGUUUCAACCAACACCUUUAAGAGAAGAUGAGGACAUUUGCGAUUUCUGUGCAAACUCUCCAAUAGCAAAUGCAACAAGUGGUCACCUCAUUAAGUGCACGCAUGUUAAGAAGAGAGAAAGAGCUUCAAGAUGUAUGGGAUGACGAUGAAAGUUCACAAGUGCAAGAACAAAGUGCUGAAGAAAAACAACCAGAAAAUUGUUUGCCUAAACAAACUGAUCAAACAGAACUUACUGAAAGUUUAGAUAUCAUUGAUUGUAUGAGCCAAGAAAAUUUUUAUGUAGAUCAAGAUGAUAUGCUAAACAAUGAUUUUUGCAGGGAAGAGAACUAGAAAGAGCCAGAAUUGAAAGAAACUGACUGUUGCACCCAACAGGUGGAGUGCAACCAUGCACAAAACAAGGAAGAGCCAAUCACACCUAUUCAGAUCAAUCUUGUGCAGUCAGAAGGAACUCCAAUCGAACCACCUCAGUUUGGAUCGCAGGACAGUCCUGCAACACUUCCCAUCGCACCACUUCAGCUUGGUGCGUAGAUCAACCUUGCACAGACAGAAAGCAUUUCAGGCAUGCCUCUUCAGCUUGAACUGCAGGACAGUCAUCCCUUUCAGUCAAGUCUUGCGCAGAAGGAUCAAACUAAAACCAUUUCAGCCAUAAAUCCAAUGCAAACAGCCCAUGCUCACAAGGAACAAGUUGAAGUUCAAGAGCCCAAACCAAAGGACCAUGCGGAACAAUGCCUUCCCAAACCUCCGGAUAAGGUAGAGUUUGUUUUGCUUGAAUUAAGUACUAAACUGCAGCUAGCUAUGGAGAGAUAUGAAUUGAAGUUGGAAGUGCUAAAAAAUGCAAACAUAAGGGCUAGAGGCACACCUCAUCUGAAAGAAGAGAAGCUAAUCAUGUUGCUUCAUGAGUACAUGGAAAAACAUAGGAUGGGCUAUGACCAAAUCAAAAGGAGUGCUACACUUUUUACUCAAUGCAGUUGGGACGCUUUUCCCUUCCCCAAUUACUUGAGCCUUGAUCAAGAGGAUCGCACCAUGCACACCACACCCAGGGGAGUACUCAGUUUCUUUUGCAUUUUAAUAUUUCCAAUACAUUGAGGACAAUGCAUGAUUUAGGUGUGGGGGUGCAUAUCUCUGAAUUUUUACUUUUAAGUUUAUUUUUGCUUUAAUCUUUAGUUUGCUUGCAUUAGGCAAAUUUUUUUCAUUUUUAUUAUUUUUGCUUUCAAUAACGCACACAUGUAGCCACAAUUUUUCUUUUAGUUUUGAGAUGCUUUACUCAAACUUAUAGACUGUGUUGGAUGAGCUUUCUUUCCAUGACCCCAUUGAUGUGAUGACUCUUUAAACUUAAGUUGAAUCAAUUGUAAUGAGUUGUAUUCAUCUUUGGGAAUUGCCUUUUGAAUUGAAUCUUUGAGCUUGCCAUGGUGAAAAAUAUAUUGAUGACCCUCAUUAGAGAGAAUGAAUUGAAAAUUGUGUGAAUGAACUUAAUGUGACUUGAUUUAGCAAUUGGUGUUGAUUUGCCCAAAUCUGUUGAAGAGAAUGCAAUUCGGCAAUGGCAAAAGAAACUUCAAAGAACAAAUUGAAAACUGUUCCAAUGGUCAUUGACUAUGAACAGAGCUAGUAGCCACUUGAAUAGGUGACCAACUGAGUAACUGGAGGUGGGUAUUACCAAUAUGUACUUUCACGUAAAAAGGUUGGUGACUUGUUCAAGUAAGAUUAAAUGUGCAAAAAGCUGAAUAAAGUAUUUCAGGUAAAGGGCAAAUCACUCUGAAAGCUAGAAAAAGUUUUAAUUGAACAGGACUAUGUGCAUGUGCAAUGUCUCUCUUGAGGAAAACAAAUCCUAGCUAUGGUAAGUAGAGGAAAACAAGGAAAGAAGGUGAGUAACCUUGAUGCAUAUAUUCUUCACUGCAAUGAUUCAAAACAGGGGUCAAGAGUAAGAGCUUAAGUGGACACAAAGGAUCUAGAGCAAAGAGAGCUUGUUGGACUAUGUUUAUUUGCUUGAGGACAAGCAAAAGACUAAGUGUGGGGGUAUUUGAUAGAACAUAUUUUAGUCCAUUUUAUCUUGAUAUUAUUGAUUAUUAUUUAAUGAUUUCUGCUUAAUUUAGUGCUCUUGAUAUUAUUUUGCAGAAAAUGGUGAAAAAGAACAUUUUGGAGAAAAUACCCUUAAAACUGCCUUAAAUGGAGCAAAGGAGAGCAAGCCUGCCAAGUUUGAAUCAAGUGAAGAUAAAUAAGGAAAGUUCUAAAUAAGGAAAGUGGCAAAGAAGGAAAGAACAUUCAGCCAAAGCAAUUUGAAAUUCAAAUUUCAAAUCUCCAAGUAGCCUUUUCCUUAUUCAAGAAGCCAAGUCUCAAGUUGCCAUAAAUGAAGAGCCAAAUAAGGAAAGUAUUUUGAAAUUCAAAUCUUCAAGAUUCAUAUUCAAAUUUUGAAUUUCAAAAUCUAGCUUAUUAAGGAAGCUAAAUCCAAAGAUCACAUGCUUGCCACCUCAUGCCUUGAACAUUCAAAAUUCAAAUUGCAAAGGAGGCUCCACCUUCCUUAUUAGUGCAUGGGAGGCAAGGAGAGUGUGAAGGCAAGUCUUGGGCACCUUGGGCAGCAUCUUGAAGACACUUGGGCAGCAAGCAUAGACCAAAGGCGCCACUCCUUGCACUUGAACACAUGCCCCACGUUUUUCCCUUCUCACAUGUGCAUGGAUGGCACAUCUUGGACCAAGGGCAUAUUGGGCAGCCUCUUGAAGUCUUUUGGGCAGCCUCUUGACACCUUGGGCAGCCUCUUCACUAAUUAGGAAGCAAGUAUCAUCUAGGGCAACACUUUUCAAGUAUAAAAAGACACAUAAGGAGCCUCUCCAUGCUUUUUCAAACCCCCUUGGAGGCAUCUAUGGGAUUCACAUCUCUUCUUCUACCUUUCUUCUUUUCUUUUAUUUUUGGUUUUUGUUUCAGCCAUGAGAGGCUGAAAUCUUUUAUUCUAGUUGAAGAUUAGGUGAUGCUUUAGUUGUUUUAUGGAUUGGGAGACUUGAUCAAACAUUGUUUAUCUUUUGUUAUUCAAUAUUCAUACAAUCUCAUGCUUAAUUCCAUUGUUGCUUUGUUGUUUGGAUCAAUAUGGCCAAUUGAUUCUUGAUUGCAAGGUAAUAAUAUGUUAGUUUGGGUGAUUUAAGUCCGUAAUUGCUUGGAUUAUUCAAACAUAAGAACAUUUGGUGUAAAAACCAAGGAAAUUGUAUGAUCUAGCAACAUCUCAUGCGUUUGAGUAGUUAGGAUUGGAUCUCUCUCUUUCUUCAUGCAAUCGACAAUUGUUUGAUGCCUAAGGCCCAAGGACGUUCCUUGGCAAUUUGUUAAUUAGUAAUUAAUUAGAGGACGUUUCCUAAUUGGUUUAAUCAUAAGGAGAGACAUGGUGGUGAGAAGCGUCGUCCAUCUCCAUAACUAAUCUAUUGAAUCAAUCAAAAGAAACUAAGUGUCAAUGAUCAAUCCCAACAACUGAAGUGGAUUCAAUUCUUCUACUAGAGCUUUCUUAUUAUUUAUUUCUCUUUUAUUCUAUUAUUCGCUUAUUUUAAUUGCUUUCAGUAGUUUGUUAAUCAAAUCAAUCUCAAACCCCUCAUUUUACUUUUACUGCAAUUUAUUUUUAUUCCGCUUUCAGUUUAUAUCGUUCUCAGUUUUAUCUCGUUUCAGUUUAUCUCGCUUUCAGUUUAUUCUGAUUUUAGUUUAUCUCGCUUUUAGUUUAUCUCGUUUUCAGUUUUCUCCUUUUUCAAUUUAUUUUUGUUUCAGUUUAUUUUAUUGGUCUUGAUAAGAAAAAUAGGUAAGUUCUCAAUUCCCUGUGGAUUCGAUCAUUUCACCACUAUCUGCAGUUGUAAAUUGUUGAUAACCAGAGAGGUUAUUUUUGACCGGCUUCGACAACCGCAAGUCGGUCCUCUGGAGCAACUGGAAUCUGAUAAAAACAUGAAUAACCGUCAAGACAACAGUAAUGAGACUUACCUGCAAGCCUUUCUAGCAUAUGAUCAAUGAAAGGAAAUGGGAAGUGGUCUUUUCUUGUGGCUGCAUUUAGCUUCCUAUAGUCCAUGUACACUCUCCACCCAUUCUGAAUUAUGGUGGGAACAAGUUCUCCUUCAGCAUUUGGGACAAUGGUGAUCCCAGUUUUCUUUGGGACUACAUGCACAGGACUCACCCAUUUGCUAUCAGAGAUUGGGUAGAUGAUACCUGUGUCAAGGAGCUUGACUAUUUCUUUCUUUACUACCUCCACCAUAGGUGGAUUCAAUCUUCUUUGAGCAUCUCUGACUGGUUUGCAUUCCUCUUCCAUGUGUAUUCUAUGCAUGCAUGUGGAAGGAAAAAUACCUUUUAUGUCAUCUAUGGUCUAUCCUAUGGCUCCUUUGUGUUUCUGCAGUACUCUCAGGAGGCUUACUUCUUCAUGUUGGCUCAAUUCAUUGGAUACUAUUACUGGUAGUGUCUUAUCAGCUCCCAAGUACAUGUAUUUUAGAUGGCCUGGAAUAGGCUUCAGAUCUGAUUUUGAAAUUUUCUGAUCUGCAGUCUGUGGUUUAGGCGAGCAAGGAUAUGUCUGUGUUGACUGUCUUGCAGAACUGGAUUCAGGAACAUCCUUCUACGCAGGACCUGACUGAAAGGGAGGGCUGUUCUGCAUUGGAGGCUGAAAGGACGCGCCUGAAAGGCUUUCAGGCGCCUCUUCCUGCGUAAGAAUGGUCUACGUACCAUUCUGAAGUGGUGCAACUGGUUUCUGUACUUCCUGUGGUUGUCUGCAGUUCACCUGUUGGAUGCUGCAGACUGUUUCAUUUAGUUUUGGCUCUUUCUGACUCUCUAUCUGUACCUGGUCAGCAUCCCUGCAAAAAUCAUUGUUCAGAAUAUCAUCUUGAUUGUUAUAAAAAAUCUCCUGGCUCAAGCAGUCAACAAUAUCAAGACCAUAAAUAGGGGACAUAUCAUGUGGAUAUUUCAUAGCAUCAUAGACAUUAAAUUUAAUUACUUCCCCUUCAAACUCCAUAGUCAAUGUACCAUCAUGCACAUCAAUCUUAGUCCUAGCAGUAAUCAAGAAAGGACGUCCAAGAAGGAUGUCAGAACUAGUGUUGCAACCGUCUUCCUUAGUAUCAAUCACAUAAAAGUCUGCAGGAAAGACAAGUUCAUCUACUUUAACUAAAACAUCUUCUAGAACUCCUACGGGGUAAACCAUAGAUCUAACAGCUAAUUGAAUCACAACUCUUGCGUCUUUCAGUACACUUGCAUUCAAAGAAUUAUAGAUGGAAAGAGGCAUAAUAUUUAUGGAUGCACUAAGAUCACACGUAGCUUUCUUAAUUCCAACAUUCCCAAUCUUACAAGAAAUCGCAAACAUGCCUUUAUCUUUACAUUUAGUUGGGAGUUCUCUUUUAAUAACAGUAGUAACUACUUCACCUACACUUACUUUCUCUCUCUCAGCAAGCUUUCUUCUAUUGGUACAAAGUUCUUUCAGAAAUUUUGCGUACCUGGGAAUCUACUUAACAACAUCUAGCAGAGGUAUGUUGAUUUCCACUUUCCUGAAAGUCUCAAGGAUCUCCUUUUCUUCUUUUUCUUUUUGUGUUCUUUCAAAUCUCUUUGGAAAAGGAGGUGGAAUCUGAAAACGUACCUGAUGAUCAGCCUUCUGCGCAGGGGUGGUGUCAGAUGGAGCUCAGCUGGCCGGCUCAUGGAGGUGGUGCACACGAAUGGUUUCAGUUUGUGCAGGGGUGGUUUCAGUUUGCGCAGGCUCUUGUGCAACUUGCUUUUCUUCCUCAAAUCUGGCAUCUUGAAGCUCUUUCCCACUUCUCAAUGUAAUGGCACUCACAUUCUGUCUAGGAUUAGUUUCAGUUUGGGAAGGGAGCUUACCAUGGGAUUCCAGCUUGCUUAUGGAGGUGGCCAUUUUUCCCACUUGUUGUUGGAGGCUUUGCAAAGUCUUCACUACCUCAUCAAGAGUAUUAUUGGAACUUGGAGGUGCUGGUUGUGCUUGACUUCUUUGGUAGCUCUGAUAGUUGUUAGCUCUCCCGUAGCUGAAAUUGGGGUGGUCUCUCCAUCUUAGGUUGUAAGUAUUAGAAAAUGGAUCAUGUCUUACCUUGUUGUUGUAUCCUCCAAUGGAAUUCACUUGCUGGUUGUCUUUUUGAAGAGUAGGACACUGAUCAGUUGGAUGUCCUACAUAUGCACAGAUCCCACAUGGCCUAGGUGGCUGGGAUGCUUGAACCUGUUGAACAGUCCUAUAGUAAAAUCUUUCAUAAAAGAUGUCAGUUCAGAACUAGAAGGUGAACUUACCUCAUUGACUCCUUUCUGCAGUUGCUUUCUUCUCCAUAUUGCUUAGAUGAGGCUGCAAGGGUUGAGAUCAACUCUCUCAUCUCCUUAGGUGUCUUGUCUGCGAUGGAUCCUCCACAGGCUACAUCAAUGAAUCUCUUUUCUAAUGAAAGAAAUCCUCCAUAGAAGAAUUCUAUGAGUGCCUUAUCAGAAAUAUCAUGUUGAGGACAACAUGUACACAAUCUUUUAAACCUUUCUCAAUAAUCAUAUAAAUCCUCAGAUGGCUUUUGUCUUAUGCUACUGAUCUCUCUUCUUAUGCAAAUGGCUUUAGAAGUUGGGAAGUAUUUAUUCAGAAAAGCUACUACCAUGUCAUCCCAAGAAGUAAUAGAUCCAGGUGGCAAAUAAAACAACCAAUCUUUAGCAUAAUCAUCAAGUGAAAAAGGAAAAGCUCUUAACUUAACAUAGUCUUCAGUUAUGCCUUGCGGCCUCAUGGUUGAACAAACAAUGUUAAAUUCCUUUAAAUGCUUGUGUGGAUUUUCAUUCCUAAGACCUCUAAAUUUACGCAGAAGAUGAAUCAAACCUAUUUUCAGUUCAAAGGGAACUGUCAGAGGUGGAUAGGUGAUGCAAAGAAGUACUUGAUCACCUAUAGGUGUUGCCAACUCUCUCAUGGUACUUUCUCUUGGCAUAGGUGCUCUCAUGACUGGAUUUUGAUGCAUAAUUUCUUCAUGGACAGCAUGUUCAUUGUGGACAGCAGGUUGUGCCACGUUUUCUGCCAUUUCAGGAGCUUGGUGGUGCGAUGGAGUGGUUUCAGGUGAAGGCUCUGCACAAGAUGGCUCUUCAGGCGCAAGUUCGGCUUCAGAUGGCUCUUCAGGCCGAAUUGCUUGCUUUCCUAGUCUCCUGAUGGUGCAUUCAAUUUCUGGAUCGUAAGGCAGAGUGUCCCUAUGUUCAGAUCUGUUCAUGAAAGAAAAACAGAUUAGUUAAAUCAACUCCCCGGCAACACUGCCAAUUUUUGACUUGCGAUUGUCGAAGCCGGUGAAAAAUAACCUUUCCGAUGAUCAACAAUAAUAAUACUGUAGAUAGUGGUGAAGGAUCGUAUCCACAGAGAAUUGAAAACUUAUCUAUUUUUCUCAGCAAGACAGAGAAACUUAACCGGAUGAGAAACUGAAAGCAUGCAACUGAAAGCAGAAUAAAAUAAAUUGCAGUAAAAGUAAAAUGGGGGGGGUUUGAGAUUGAUUUGAUUAGCAAACAACUGAAAGCAAUUAAAUGAGCAGAUAAUUAAAAUAAAAGAGAAAUCAAUAUGAGAAAAGUCUAGUUGAAGAGAUGGAUCCACUUUGGUUGUUUGGAUUAAUCAUUGAAACUUAUGUUCCUUAUAUUGAUUCAAUAGAUUAGUUAUGGAGAUGGAAAAUGCUUCUCAUCACCAUGUCUCUCCUUAUGAUUAAAUCAAUUAGGGACCGUCCUCUAAUUAAUUAUUAAUUAACAAAUUGCCAAGGAACGUCCUUGGGCCUUAUGCAUCAGAACAGUUGUUAAUUGCAUGAAGAAAAAGAGAGAUCCAAUCCUAGCUACUCAAACGCAUAAGAUGUUGCUAGAUCAUACAAUUUCUUAGUUGUUACACCAAGUGUUCUUAUAUUUGAACAAUUCAAGCAAUUACAGACUUAAAAUUAUCCAAACUAACAAUUAAUUACCUUGCAAUCAAGAAUCAACUGGCCAAUUUGAUCAAAACAACAAAGUAAUAAUAGAUUCAAGCACCAAAUUGUAUGAAUAUUGAACAAACUAAAGACAAACAGUUUAUGUUUAGAUCUCACAAUCCAUUAAACAACCUUAGUUUCAACCAAUCUUCAACUAGAUAAAAAGGUUUCAGCCACUCAUGGCUGAACCAAAACCAAAAAUAAAAGAAAAGAAGAAAGGUAGAAGAAGAAGAUGGUGUGGCCGAAGGCCUUGUCUUGCAAUCUGAAGGUGAGGCGUGGAGAAGAUGAUCAAAAGGUAUUCUCGGCUUGGUGACGAGCUUCUUAAAUAGGAUUAGAGGCUGACCUUGCUGCCCUAGAGGUACUUCCUGCCCAAGUCGUGUCUAAAAAGGAAAGUAUCGCAUUGCAAAUUAUUCAGAAGGAAAGAGGCGUGCGGUAUGCUCUUCAGAAGGAAGGUGUGCGCGCGGCAAGGCUUCAAAAGGAAAUAGUGUGCUGUCCAAGACUUUACUUCCUGCCCAAGUGUCUUCAAGAUGCUGCCCAAAAGGUACUUGCUGCCCAAGUUGUGUCUGGAAAGGAAGGAAUCGCGUUGCAAGGGUUUUAGAAGGAAGGAGGCGCGCGGAUGCUCUUCAGAGGGAAGAUGGGCGCGCGGCAUGCAUGUGCAGAAGGGAAAGUGAAUCUGUCCAUUCUUUCCUUUUUAGGUGGAGCCUUCGUUUGAAUUUUGAAUGCUGAACACAGAAGAGGCAAGUGCGUCUUCAUGAAAUCUUGCUGCCUAAAUAGGAAGAUAUGACUUCUGCAGUGUGUGCACAUCAAUGAAUAAGGAAAGAAAGAUCUGCAUUUUCACUUUCAAAUAAUCUUCUGACUGAGCUUUCCUUAUUUGCUUUUGCUUUUGCACUUUCCUUAUUUGAAAACUUUCCUUUUCUAAAAACUUUCCUUAUUUGAAAACUUUCCUUUUUUGGCACUUUCCAUAUUUGACACUUUUUGGCAGUUUUAAGGACAUUUUCUCUAGAUUGUCUCUUUACACCUAAUAUCUGCAAAGCAUGAUUAAAACCACAAAUUUAGGCAGAAAAGAUGUAAAUAAACAUCAAGAACAUAAUGAUAAAAUCGAUUAAAAUAUGCUCUAUCAAACAUAAAUUAUUUUUGAAAGGGGGAGCAAAUUAAGUGGGAUAAAUUUUUUAAAAUUCACACACUACACUUGUUCUUAUUAUCUUAUCAUCCACUAAUUAUUUAUCAUCAUUAAAAAGGGAGAUUGUUGGACCUAAGUGUUCUAAUCCUUAUUUUGAUGACUAAUAAAUAAAUGGCGUGCUAGUAAUAUCUUUAGAAGUUUUUGUGUGAGCUUGUAGGCCUCCCAUUUAAAUAAAUGUAAUUACUUUAUUUUCAAGAAUGAAAAGUGUCAAGAUUGGAAGCAUACUACAAGAAAGGGACCAAAAUAUAAUAUUUAGUUUAUGCAUUGUGAAUUUCAAUUAAUUAAUUGUAUUGUCUCAAGUUUUUUUUUUUUUUAGUUCUAAAACUUAUAAAUAUGAUCAAUUUUUAAGAAAUUUUUUUUGUGGACCAGAAUAAAAUUUUACAUAUGGAGCCUUUUUUAAUAUACUUUUCAAUCAAAUAAGAGAUUUCAAAUUAUAGGUUACAAUAAUUCAAAUAGAAUGAAAAUUUGGAAGGUUGUAACUUAAGUUUUACUGCAUAACUCUGUAAGAGAUCAAAAUGAAAUUUGACAUAUGGAACCUUUUUGAAGAUAUUUUUCUAUCAAAUAAGAGAUUUCAAAUUGUAGGUUAUAAAAAUUCAAAUAGAGUAAAAAUUUAAAGUUUUUUAACUUAAGUUUUUGCUCCAUAACUCUUUGAGGGACCAAAUUGAUAUUUUUAAUCAAACUAAAAGAUUAGGUUAAAAGGAUUGAAACGGAUUGAAAAUCGGAGUUUUAUAGCCUAAGUUCUAAUUUUUCAAAGAUUUAAUGAAAUGUUUUUGUGCCCCCUAGAGUUAAUGUUAGGCUUCUGAAAGUGGAGAAGUAGAGGCAAAACUUCCAAUGUUCGAUCGCUAAAUAUUGAGACUUUAGGCCGCCGAAAGUCUGUUUUCACCUCCAAAGGUUCGGCCACCGAACUUGAGUUUUUCCAAGCGUGAAAUAACGGCUAUUUCAAUAUAUAAAUGACUCUAUUUACAUUUAAUGCAUCCCAACGGCCAUAUUUAUGUUAGAACUAUAAAUAUAAUGUAUUUUUUAUAUGAAAAAGUUACAAUAAUCAUCUAAGCACACAUUUAUUGAGAAUUAUGCUUUUCACACUCUUCUCUCUCUAAACCUUGAGCCAUAGCAUUAAUUUCUUAAAAACUUGCUUUGAGUCGUAAAUGUUUGUGUUUUGAGAUUGAGUGAAGAUUGUUAAGUGAAUUUAUUAUAGUAAGUGUGAUUUUGAGCAAAGAAUUGCUAUUGUAAGAAAAAGAGCAUUGUAAAGAGUAAGGGUUUAACUCUAGAUUUAUAAGGGGUUAAUCUUCACCUAAAAAAGAUUUGAUAGUGGAGUCGAACUCUCAAGGAAGGUCUUGAGGAGAGGACAUAGGUUUAGGAUGGUUGAACCUCUAUAAAUCCUUGUGUUCGUUUUCACUCUUCCUUCCUUAUUCCAUUUUAAUUUGUGUUUUUAGCUUUCAAUUUUUUAUAAAUCCAAUUCACCUCUCUUGGGUUGCUUCAAGGACAACAAUAGUUAUAAAUAUUUAAUAAAUAUAUAACUAUAAUUGUACAAUAAAUAUAAAGUUAUAUAUAACCCGUCUUAGGUUGCUUAAGGACAACAAUAGUUAUAAAUAUUUAAUAAAUAUAUAACUAUAAUUGUAUAAUAAAUAUAAAGUUAUAUAUAAAUCAUAUAUACUUGGUCAAGGUUAACACAUUUUAGAUCAUAUUUAAAAUUGAAAACUUUGAAACUUGAUUUAAGAUAAUAUCUGAUAUUAAAAGGAGUGAAGUUGUAUUCAUUCUAUAAAUUGUUCAUAAGAAUUAGCAAAAUAAAUUUAUAAUCCUUUAUAUCUAUCAUAGUGUCUCAUACUGUGGAAUAUCAAUUAUUAAGACAUUGUCAUAUCUUAUGAUUUUUUAAUUGAUUUUAAUUACGAUAAAAAUACAUUUCCAUAAGGAGUAUACUAAAUUCAAUACUAGAAUAUCUCAUUGCUUUUAUUGUAUCAAUGACUUUUAUAUUAUUUUCAUAUAUAUUUUCUUGUAUUUUAGACUAGAAGUCUUUGAAUUGUUCAAAACAUUCAUAUUUGUAUUUAUGAAAUACAAGCACCUCAAAAUAUUUUAGAAAUAUCCCUUUUAGCUAUUUCCAAAAUGGACAUUGUAACUUAGCACGAAUAGGCCAUGUUAUAUUGCCUAGUUGUGUAACUUAACACAUCUACAUGGCAAGGCCAUGUAACUGCGUGCCAGCGCAUGCUGAAAAUACAAUCAGCGCACAUCAAGCUAAGGCAUGGCUUGACAACGCGAUCAUUGUUAUUUUAUAGUGUUUAGUUUUGGGCCCAAUAUGAGAUUUUACUACUAAACAACUCAAACCCAUAUGGAAUGAGAGUUUGACCUAUAUAUUAAUUUUAUGGUCAUAAAAAUAAUUUCUACAUGUAUCAUACACAUGUCUAUUAUUAAAUCUAAAUUAAUUAUGUAACAUUCUCAAACCCAUAGUUAGGAAUAGUGACAUCAUUAGGUAUGACUUAGCCUAUUUUAUUAUUAGAACAAGUGGCAUUAGGAGAGGUGCUAGCUUACCCCAAAUUACUUAGAGAAGGUGUGACUGUGCGGUUGUUGAAGCCGGUCAAAAAUAACCUUUUCAGUUAUCAACAAUUUUACAACUGCAGAUAGUGGUAAAAGGAUCGAAUCCACAGGGAAUUUAUACUUACCUAUUUUCCUUAUCAACACCAAGAAAAUAAACUGAAAGUAAAUUAAACUGAAAGCGGUUGUCGAAGCCGGUCAAAAAUAACCUUUUCAGUUAUCAACAAUUUUACAACUGCAGAUAGUGGUAAAAGGAUCGAAUCCACAGGGAAUUUAUACUUACCUAUUUUCCUUAUCAAGACCAAGAAAAUAAACUGAAAGCAAAAUAAACUGAAAGUAAAUUAAACUGAAAGUGGUUGUCGAAGCCGGUCAAAAAUAACCUUUUCAGUUAUCAACAAUUUUACAACUGUAGAUAGUGGUAAAAGGAUCGAAUCCACAGAGAAUUUAUACUUACCUAUUUUCUUUAUCAAGACCAAGAAAAUAAACUGAAAGCAAAAUAAACUGAAAGUAAAUUAAACUGAAAGCAAAUUAAAAAGGGGGGUUUUGAGAUUGAUUCAAUUAAACUAAUAUUGAAAGCAAUAAAAUAAAGCAAAUAAUAAAAGUAAAGGAAAUCAAAUAUGAGAAAGGUCUAGUUGAAGAAUUGGAUCCACUUCAAUUGUUGGGAUUGAUCAUUGAUACUUAGGUUUUUUUGUUUGAUUCAAUAAAUUAGUUAUGGAGAUGAAAGACAUUUCUCACUACCAUGUCUCUCCUUAAGCAUAAAUUCAUUGGGGAACGUCCUUUAAUCAAUCACUAAUCAACAAGUUGCCAAGGAACGUCCUUGGGCCUUAGGCAUCUAACAACUAUUAAUUGCAUAAAGAAAUAGAGAGAUCUAAUUCUACCUACCCAAACGCAUGGAGAUAUAGCUAGAUCAUGCAAUUUCCUUAGUUUUCACACCAAGAGUUACUUAUGUUUGAAUAAUCCAAGCAAUUACAGUCUUAAAAUUAUCCAAACUAACAAAUUAUUACCUUGCAAUCAAGAAUCAACUGGCCACAUUGAUCAAAAUAACAAAGCAACAAUGAAAUUAAGCAUGAGAUUGCAUGAAUAUUGAAAAACAAAAGGUAAACAAUGUAUGUUCAGAUCUCCCAAUCCAUAAAACAACUAAAGUAUCAAUCAAUCUUCAACUAGAAAUAAAGGUUUCAGCCACUCAUGGCUAAAACAAAAUAAAAAAUAAAGAAAGAGAUGAAGAAGAGAUGUGGCCACUUGCAAUCUCGUAUGUGUGUCUAAGGGAGAGUAGAAAAAGCAUAGGGAGACUCCUUAUGUGUCUUUUUAUAGUUGAAAGUGUUGCCCCAAGUCUCCUUGCUGUCUAAGUUGGUCUUCCUUGCUGUCCAAGUUGCUGCCAUUGCCGCCCAAGUGUACAUUAAUGAGGUGGAGCCUCCUUUUGAAUUUUGAAUUUUGAAUGUGCAAGACUUGGGGGGCAAGUAUGUCUUCUUUGCCUUCCUUAACAAGUUGAAUUUUGAAUUUCAAAUUUUGAAUGUGCAUCUUCUUGAGAUUUGACUUCCUCAAUAAGGAAAAAGAUUCUUGAAAAUUUGAAAUUUGAAUUUCAAAUUGCUCUACUGACUGCACUUUCCUUAUUUAGCACUUUCCUUAAUAAGCUGAAUCUUGAAUUUUGGGCAGAUAUUAGGCAGUUGCAACUUGGCAUGUUUGCUCUCCUUUAUUCCAUUUUAGGCAGUUUUAAGGGCAUUUUCUCCAAAUUAUCUCUUUACACCAUUUUUUGCAAAAUAAGAUCAAAACCACAAAAUUAGGCAGAAAAAGUGUAAAUUAACAUCAAUAACAAUAUGAUAAAAUAGUCUAAAUUUGAACUGAUCAAGGUGCUAGCAUAACUCUAAACUACUAAUAAUUGAAUCAUAAAAAAUGCAAAUAAAGAAAUGGACAUAUCUAGAAAUAAAGUAGACAAUGUGAUUAGCAAGUCAGAAACGAGUCACUUUCGGGAGGUACUUAGGGUUUUUCGACGUGCUUGUUUGAGGUACUUAUUAAAAUUCGACAUGCUUACCAAAGUGAAAUGGAUUUCUGAAGGCUAAAAGAAUAUUUAAUAGGCCAAUUUAUGAAUAUUGAAAGUUUGAAAACUAAAUUGAAACAUGAUAAAGAGUUUAGUAGGUUAAAAUGUGAAUAUGGAAAGUUUAAAGGUAAAAUUUAAUAUCAGUCUUACAUUUUUUCAUCUUUUCAACUUAGGCCUCCACAUGUCACCUAAAUAAACAUAAGAAAGAUGACAAAAUAAAGAAAAAGUGGGUUGUCUUCUUGCUUUCUUCUUUUGGCCGAAGAUCACUCCAUUAAAAAGAUAAAAAGCUUUGCUUUUCCUUCUUCUGCCAAAUUCAAGCCAAUCUCUCACCAAAUCAACUUUUUUCUUUAACUAAAAUUUACUCUAAGAUCAAGAGCUAAAGAAAGAGCUAUAUAUUAAAAGAAUUGAAGAAGAAAAGUUUAGGAUUUCAUAUGCACCAAGCUUGAAAAUCAAAGGUGAGCAUAGAAAUGUGUGCUAAAUUAAAGAAUAGUAAAAUAUCAAAUGAUAGUUGAUAGUAUAAUUAUAAAUGUAUUUUUCAUAUGUACUACAAGUUGAAAUGCUGAUAAAACAGAGAAAACUCUGUCAAAAUUUCAGUUUAAAAUCUCACAUUUACUUUACUCACUUUAUGAAAUUUACAUGAACUACUUAAUAACUUGGUAAUUAUACAUAAAGGAAAUGGUUUAGUUUUAAAAUAUAUAAGAAAGUAUAGUUUGUGAUAAUUCUUACUCUGUCUACACCUUGACAGGGUAAGGGGUGUUACAAUUAGUAGUAUCAGAGUCACCCUGGGUUAGAAAAAUUGUGCAGAGCUAGUAGGUCUGCAAGGAAAGUGCUAUAUGUGCAAGAUGAGGUGGAGCCGCUCGAGCACUAGCGAACCACAACACCCGAUGAUUCGAUUAUGGCAUAGCAAUUGUACUCAAUUUAGCACAAUUAGAUCACAAUGGGCAUCACGUUCCACAUCAGGAAAUUAUAGGAAAACGAAAUUUUAUAUAAUAGCUAGUACGAAACUACUAAAUAAUUUGGGUUAACCAUUUUGGGCCAAGUAGAAAAUGGAUUCAAAAAUUAUUUGGGUCAGUUUGGGUCGGGCUGUUACAAAUUAUGUUAAUUUAAUUGAUUAUUCUCUCAUUAAUUAAUCAUAUUAGUUGACUAUUGGCUAGACCAACAUUUGGUUUUAUGCCCAUUAAGAGAAUUAUAUUUAAUAUCUUAAGUCCAUCCAAAUAUUUUUAAGAUCCAUAUCACGAUAAAUCAAGCCCUGGCCUAGUAGAAUAUUUUUACCUUAUUCCAAGUCCAUGUUGUACAUGGCUUUAAUUCAUCAAAUGAAUUUAUCUUCUUCUUUAAGAUCCAUGUCCUAUAUGGAUAAAAUUCAUCAUAUGAAUUCAUCUUCCUCUUUAAAAUCUAUGUUCUAUAUGGAUAGAAUUUAUCACAUGAAUUCAUCUUCUUCUUUAAAAUUCACAUCCUGCAAGGAUAAAAUUCAUCACAUGAAUUUAUUAUUUCCAUUAAAUUUAAUUUUAACUUUUCAUGGUUGAAUCUAGUUCAAGUCAUGCUAGGGACAUGCAGCUUAGGUAGCUAACUAAAUUCAUUAAUUAAUAUAAUUAAUAAAAAAUAUUUAUUUAAUUAAUUAAUCUUGUUAAAAUUGGUCCUUAUAUGUGUGAUUACACAGGUUCAUAAUCAAUUAGUAAUGGGAAUGGAAACAAUAUUUCAAUAUACCUCGAAUGAUAUCUUAUACAUUCUCGAUUUUCACAAAUCAUAGUUGGUGUCUAGUAUAAUGCACCAUGACUAUCCAAUUAACAAUGAAUGUAUUAUUCCAUUCAAUCCAGACUAUGAUCAUAAAUAAUCAUGCAUUAUAAUCCUUUCAUUAUAGAAUCCCGAUCUAAGCUAGGGUCCUAGUAAAUUUCAAACCCUAAUAAUUUGAGUCAUACGACCUCACUUGAUUCUAAUUCUUGAUUAACAAUACUUACAUUAGAAAAAUCCUUUUGUAACUAAGUUAAGCUACCUUGGCCAAGGAUUUGUUAUCUAGAAUAAUUAAUAUGGUCAUAGGCUUUCGUCCAUUUAUCUAGAGUAAUGAAUCCCAUCUCGGCUGACCCCUUAUCUCAGUGUACAACUAUUUUAAGCCAACAACUCACUAUUUACCCAUACAUAGUACAAGUAUGUAAUAAGUGGUAUUAGACUCAAACUACCUGCACAUCAGACAAGUGUCAUCUCAUGUCUAAGGAUUAUAUACACUAUUAUGAUCUAGAUAAAUGAAUAUUGAUAAGAGUAAACUCCAUGCAUUCUUCAUCAAAACGCCACUUGUGUGGUCCAUUCAUCACUAUAAAUGUCCACAUAUUUAUCUAGACAUCACAUGUCUAAUUGUAUGAGACUCACCACUCUACUAUCAUUAGCAUCACUAUACUAAUCAGUAGAGAUAGAUAGAGGUAACAAUAUAUUCUAAUUGAAUCGCUUCCAAUGAGGCAUCCUAUGAUUGUGAACAUUUUUAUAGCAUUUUGUAAAAGUACAUUCUGUCGUCAUAUUCUCAAGCCCUUGAGAAGGGAUCGACUAUAAAAAACUAAUGAGCAAUAAUUCAUGUUUAAUUAUUUAAAUAAUAUUUAAUUAAUUAAAUUAUCUAUUAUUUAUGCUUAAAAAUAUAAGAUUAUAUCAAAUCAAAACUAUAGCAUAUACCUCUAAGACACAUAUUUUUAACACUUUGUUUGGUGGCUAAAAAAGAAAAAAUAAAAGAAAGAGAGUGGGAAAGAAGAGAAGAGAGAUUGAGAAAACAUUGGGUUUUAUAUGAUUUUUUUUUUGUUUAGUUUAAAAGUAAAUCUACAUUUUAGUAAUUUUGUUUUCAAAAUGCUAUUAAAAUUAGUUUGUUUGAGUAUAAAAUAAUAAUAUUUGAAACAAUCAAAGUAACUUAUAUAUUUAAAUUGUUCUUUCAACUUAAUUUGAAAAAAUAAUAAUAUACUUAAAGUAUCUUCUAAUAUAUUAAAAUUUAAUAAUAACAACAAUAAUAAUUAAGAUAAAGAGUAUACCAAAUAUGUCCUCACACGUUAUGUGUAAAGGUUUACUUACCAAAUAUGUCCUCACACGUUAUGUGUAAAGGUUUACUCUUUGUUUAGGAGUUUAUUUCUUUUUAUGAAGGUUUGAGGAUUUGUAUUUGUAGUUGCUCUGAUACUACUUGUAGUUACUCGAGAAUUAAACAAGUUACUCGAGACUUAAACUUUGAUUUUUGGUGAGCGACUUAAUAGAAACAAGAUAAAAUAAAGAAAAGAAACAAAUAAUAGAGAAGAAGAAGACACAAAGAUAUUUACAAGUUCGGAUCAAUCUUUGAGGAUCAUCCUACAUUUCGAAAGAAGGAAUCCUUUAUUCACAAUGAGUUAUAAAGAGAGAACAACCACACGAGCACAAACUCGAUUACAGAUCAAUAGAUGGCAGAGAAAACAACAAUCUCUCUUCUCCUUUUUCUACUCACUCUAUGAUCUAGAGGCUCUUUAAAUAAUAGACUCAAAGAUGAAAAAGACUAAAAAGCCCCUCAGUUCUUUUAAUAAGACCCCAACAAAAACACCGUCAUUCCUUUUCUCCUAAUCCUCUCAGACGUUCCAAGCUCUUUAAGAAAUUCUGCACACUAGGUUGUCAGUUCUCUUUCUUUUGUCUAGAAGUUUUGAGCACUUUUGAAGAAUUCGAGCAUUAGUUCUUCAAUUCUCCACCUUGCUUGACCUUCUUCAACACAUGUGAAUCUUCGCUCCUUCUUUGACUUGACCCUCGUGAUUCUUCGGUCAGCCUCAACAAGCUCAACGUCCUUUUGAACUUGUUGACAAGUAAAGUCUUGGCAGGGUUUUCUUCUAUGUGGAUUUUCAAAACUUUGAUAAUGCCUUGAGAAUCACAAAACAACUCCACUGUCUCUUGUUUGAAUUCGAGCUCCUCCAUCAGACCCUUUAACCAGAUUUCCUCUUUAAUGGCUUCUGUUAAUGCCAUAUACUCGGCCUCUAAGGUUGAAAGAGCUACAACAUGUUGUAGACUAGACUUCCAGCUUAUAACAUUUGCACAAACGGUGAAUACAUACCCUGACACCAACCUCCUUUUGUCCAAAUCAGCUGCAUAAUCAGAAUCACAAACCUUUGACUUUCAGACUUGAUUCCCUAACAUAAUUUAGUUUCAGCUUCUAUAUUACUCUAAUGUACUAAAUUCAGUAUUUUUCUAACUAAUUUGAUAUUUUUGGUUAUAUUUCGUAGAAAAGUAAAAAGAGAAGAAGAUUUGAUAAAAAGUGGUUUAAAAGCGCUGACAUUGACUUGACUAGCGAUUUGGGCAAACCUACCAGAUGAUCAUACUACAUAGAAGAAAGGAAUGGUCUAGGCUCGCAAGCUGAUUUAAUCAUUAUCAAAUGGAGGACUUAAGCAACGAUUUGCCCAAACCACUGGACAAAUCAAUAGGCAACACAGAAUUUGACAGUGAACGGAAAAAUUCAGAUUUGAAAAUAAAAGGACUAAGACACCUCAUUAAAAGCCGUGGGAUCGACACAAUUUCUCCUCCUUUAGUACGACACCAAAUCAUCCUCAAAUCAAGGAGUUAUAUCCUUGGAAGAAACAUAUUGAAGGAAGAAGUCCUAAUUCAAACAACGAAGAAUUCCUAUUCCCCAAAAGACUUUGCUAGGGUUAAGCACCUAUAUAAGCCAAUAAUUGAGGACAGUCGCAUAUCUCCCUUCUUCAGCAUUGAUUCUUCAUCUUGAAUUCUCUCUUUUCUUUUGUAUUUUCUUUAAAAGCCAUGAGUGGCUAAACUCUUUAUUUCUAGUUGAAGUUAGAGUGAAAUUUCAGUUUAUACAUGAAUUGUGAGAUCUAAAUACAAUAGUUCAUCUUUUAUUCUUCCAAUAUUUAUGCAAAUUCAGUUCUUCAUAUUAUUAUUGCUUUGUUAUUUGAUUAAUAGCACCCAUUGUUCUUAAUUUCAAAGUAAUAUAUUCUUAGUUUGAAUACUUGAAGUCCAUAAUUGCUUAGGUUAUUCAACAACAAGUAACAAUUAGUAUAACCCUUUAAGAAAUAGCAUGAUCUAGCUUAAACUCACCACGCGAUUUGGUUAGUUGGUUAUAAUUAGGUCUCUCUAAUUCUUAAGACGGUUGACAAAUAAAAUCCCAAAGACAUUCUUUGGAUGAUUUAUUGGCUAGGGUUAAUUAGUAAAUGUUUCCUAAUUAAUUUAAAACCUAAGGAGAGAUUGGUUAUGUGGAGCAUCUUCCAUAACUGUAACUAAUUUAUUUGAAUUAAUAAAAGUAUUUUUCUUUCAAUGAUCAAUUCUCAAACUGAAAUGGGUCCUAUACUUCAACUAGAACUUGUUUAUAUUGAUUUAUUUCUCUUUUAAUUAUUGCUUUCUUUAAUUACUUUGAUUUUUAUUUUUACUUAUCAUCAAAACCCCCCUUAUUACUUUUACUAUUUAUUUUUCUAGUCAUUGCUUGGAAAUUCUUAGUGCUAAUUUCCCGUGGAUUCGAUCCUAUUCACUCUAUACACAAUUCAUAUUUGUUGAUAUUUAAUAGGUUAUUUUUUAUGGCUUCGACACCCAUCAACAAGGCAUCUUAUGUCAGGCUAUAAGGCGGGUUUCGCUAGGCCAUAAUCUAAGUGUUAGUCCCGCUAAAUAAGACAUCUUAUACCAGGCUAUAAUCUGGUGACAAUCCUACUAAAUAAGGUUUUUUAUGCUAGGCCAUAAGGCGGGUUCUGCCAGGCCAUAAUCCGAGUGUUAGUCCUGCUAAACAAGGUAUUAUAUACCGACCACAAGGAGGGUUCCGCGCCAGGCUAUAAUUCGGGUGUUAGCCUCACUAAAAAAGGCAUCUUAUGCAAGGCCAUAAGGCAAGUUCGGUCAGGCCAUAAUCUAGAUGUUAGUCCCGCUAAAUAAGGCAUUCUAUGCUAGGCCACAAGGCGGGUUCUGCCAAGCCAUAAUUCGGGUGUUAGUCCCGCUAAACAAGACAUCUUAUGCCAAGGCCACAAGGCAGAUUCCACCAGGCCAUAAUCCGGGUGUUAGUCUUCCUAAACAUGGCAUUUUACGCCAAUUUACAUGACUAGGUGUUAGUCCUACUUCAUAAAAAGUUUCUAAAGCAUUUUAUGCCAAGCCACAAGGCGGAUAUCCACCAGGCCCAUAAACCGGGUGUUAGUCCCACUAUCCACGAUAUUUUAUGCCAGGUCAUAAGGCGAAUAUCCGCCAAGCCCAUAAACCGAGUGUUAGUCUCGCUAUCCAGGGCAUUUUAUGCCUAGGCCACAAGACAGGUAUUCUCUAGGUCACCUGAUCGGGUGUUUUUCCCACUUAUAAUUUUCUAAGGCAUUUCAUGCUCAGAACACAAGGCGGGUACCCGCCAGGCCAUGUUUCCGAGUGUUGAUCCCAUUUUUGUAAAAUUUUCCAAGUUAUUUAGUUUAUGGCCACUGAAGAUGCAAAAAAGACUGCAUUCAUUACCAAUAUAGAAGUUUUCUGCUACAAAAUGAUGUCAUUUGGACUAAAGAACAUAGGGAUGACUUACCAAAGGCUAGUGUUAAGCAUCUUUAAAGACAUGGUGGGGUCAAUAGUCGAGAUGUAAGUGGAUGACAUGGUGUUAAAGAGCCAAUCCUUAGAAGAUCAUCGAGAUGAUAUUCAAAAAGUUUUUGAUGUAUUGGAUAAGGCAGGUAUUAGACCUUGAAAAAUGAGCAUUCAGGGUAAAAGCUAGGAAGUUUUUAGGUAUAUAGUAUUAGAAAGAGGUAUAGAAGCAAACUUUUAAAAAAUUAAUGCCAUCCAAAGUAUGGAGGUCCCAAAAACCAUAAACGAUAUGCAAAAGUUGAAUGUGUGGGUUACAGCUCUUGGCUGAUAUAUAUCAUGCUCGACUAGGAGGUGCCUUUUGUUUUUUAAAGCCUUAAAAGGAAAAAAUAAAUUUGUAUAGGGGAAGAGUGUAUAGAGGCAUUUAAAAGCCUGAAAACCUUUUUAUCUUCUCCCCCUCUGAUAAGCUCACACAUUGAAGGCGAGGUCUUAUAUUUGUAUUUAUCUGUGAUGCAGGAAACUAUAAGUUCAAUACUCGUUCAAAAGGACAAAAGGGAGCAAAGCCCAAUCUAUUUUAAGGGGGUGGAGUUGAAUUAUCCCUCUCUUGAAAAAUUGGCAUUUACAAUCUUGAUGUCUGCAAUGAAGCUGCGUCCCUAUUUUGAGUCACACACCAUAGAAGUCGGAACGGAUUAGCCCUUAUAAAGAGUAUUACAUAGACUAAAACUAUCAGGGCGGCUGUCCACCUUGGCAGUGAUACUACCAGCUUUUGAUAUAAUGUAUGUCCUAAGAAAAGCGAUGCAGGCCUAGGCGAUAGCCGAUUUUAUCGAAGAGAUGACUCCACCAUUAGAGACUUCAGUAUUGCCUGAAUCGCCUAUUGAGGAGUGGAAGGUUUGGGUAGAUGGUGCUUCUAGAGCUGGGGGUUCUAGAAUUGGAAUCCUCCUGCAGAAUCAAACCAGGACAAAGCUUCGCUAUGCGACAAAACUCGCCUUUAAUGCUACUAACAACGUAGCCGAGUACAAAGUUGUGAUUAUGGCCUGAAAAAUCAUCACAAAAAUAGGUAUACAUAAAUCAAUUAUUUUAAGUGACUCACAAUUGUUUGUUAAUCAGUGCUAGAGAUUUUUUAAAAUUCAAAAACCGAACCUUGUCAAAUACGGAGAGAAGGUUUGCUCCUUAAUGACGAGGAUCAAAGAUAGGUAGGAUAACUGCGAGCUUUACCAGGUGGCUAGAGGUGACAAUGAAGAAACCGAUUUUUUAUCCACAGUGGUGACGACAGGUUAACAACACCUGACCUAACCAUUUCAGUUUGAGGAGCUACACAACCCAACAACAAAUGAGGAAGAAUCUUUCCCCAUAGAAGAUGGACGAUCGUGGAUGACACUUAUGUAUAGGUUUCUGACAGAUGAUGAACUGUCGACCAAUGAAUUAGUGGCUAAAUAUGUAAUAAGAAAGUCCUCUAAAUAUGCACUAAGUAAUGGUUGGUUGUACUGGAGAUCCUUAACUCAAACAUGGCUAUGAUACAUAACGAAAGAUGAGGGCUUAGAAAUCCUUAAAGAGAUUCAUGAAGGUGAUUGUGGAAGUCAUGAAGGAGCUCGGACGAUCACUCGAAAAGCAUUCAGACAAGCAUACUACUGGCUAAUGAUAAUGCAAGAUGCAAAAGAACUUGUCUAGAGAUGUGAUCGAUGUCAAGUGUAUGCAAGCAUUCCAAGGACUCUUGGAGAUGCAAGCAGCGAUUAGAAGCCUCUAACCUUCCAAUGGGGGCUAGACAUCCUUGACUCAUUUCCAAAAGCAAUUGGGUCAAGGAAAUUUGUAAUUAUGGCAGUGGAUCAUCUUAGUAAGUAGGCUGAGACUGAGGCAGUUUAGUCCGUUACCACCCAACAAAUAAUCUCUUUCAUCAGCAAGAACAUCUUCACUCAGUUUAGAAUCCCAAAGAUAGUAAUCACUGAUAACGGACUAGUUUGUGAGUUCAAAGUUUAAAUAUUUCCGUAGGAAAUGGGAGAUUCACUUAAGGUUUAGUUUGGCCUAUCACUGACAGACCAAUAGAAUGACUGAUGUUACAAAUAGGACUAUCCUACAAGGGCUAAAGAAAAGACAUGAUAAAGCCAAGGACAACUGGCUUAAGGAAUAGCCACAAUACUUUGGGCAGAUAGAAUAAUCCCGAGAAUAGCUACAGGGGAAACACCUUUCUCUCUUGUGUAUGGGGCUGAGGCAAAAAUCCCUGUGGAAAUCCAAGUAAGCAAUUUUAGGAAGUCCUGAAGAAAUGCAAUUCAAUUUGGAUUCAGCCAAACUUUUACGAGAAAAGGCUGCAAUCAGAAUGGUGGUUUAUAAGAACAAAAUGUUCAGAAUAUUUAAUAGUAGAGUCAAGUCAUGUGCUUUUAAUAUGGGGGACUUAGUCCUUAAAAGAACAGAUGGAACAGGUGGUAAUGCCGAGUCUUGUAAGUUGGGAGAAUACUUAAAAGGACAAUUUAGGAUCUUGAAGGUUAUUUGCCUAGGAUCUUAUAAGCUGACCAAGUUAGAUGGCCGAGCCAUUCUCCACUCUUGGAAAAUUUGUAAUCUAAGAAAUUUCUAUAAAAAACAGGUAAUGAUAUAUUUCUACAUGUAACAGCCCGGCCCCUUUCGACCGGCCCUGUUACCGCUCACAGCCCGUGACCUUCCUCUGGGCCCAGCCACUGUGAGCAGCUCUUAACAUCCCUUCACCCUCACGGGUUCCAGGCAGGAUUUGUCCCUCGGGGGAGCCAUUACGGCCCGCCCUAGCCCGAGUGGAUUUGGCCCAAUUCCUUCCUCUGGGAAUUAGGUCGCCUCCCCCACUGCUCGAACCCUUGACCUCCCACUUUAAGGGAAUAGUCUGGUGAGAGUGAGUACCAAUUGUUCCAUUCCAGGCCUGUAGCAUGGGGUAAGGAAAGACCAGGAUCCCAUGCUAUGGUCUAGCAUGGUUAUGGGACUUGAAGACCAGGAGCCCAGAGGAGGCCCUGGGAAAAUGGUAAGUAAUGUAUGUUCUGACAGGAAAGACCAGGACCCCAUUCUACAGGCCUGGCACAGAGUUAACUUGGACUAAUUGGUGACGAGUUCACCCAACCCUUAUGUGAACUGUUUGUGUUAUGAUGCAUUUCAUAGAGCAUAGUGUUAAUGUGUUUUAAUAGCUCUACUCACUGGGCUUUUAGCUCACCCCUCUCCCUUUACCCCCAGGCUUGCAGGUACAGUAUAGUGCGGGAGUCCGGAUAGAGUAAAGAAAUCAUGUUAUGCACAGGUUGAGCUUGGUUGAUGUUCAUGGAAAGAAAAGUUUUAAUUUUUAUGCAUGUUGUUGAUCACAGGUUUAUAGGUUUUAUGACAGGCUUGCUACAGGUCCCGGCGGCCUUAAGUCGACCCGGAUCCUAG
RNAcentral lists this long non-coding RNA (37905 nucleotides) under Manihot esculenta (cassava). Its description in RNAcentral is "long non-coding RNA (MESC_LNC011910)". Lineage: Eukaryota; Viridiplantae; Streptophyta; Magnoliopsida; Malpighiales; Euphorbiaceae. The record is from RNAcentral.